This is a long non-coding RNA of Cotesia glomerata, 713 nucleotides long. RefSeq lists it as uncharacterized. Lineage: Eukaryota; Metazoa; Arthropoda; Insecta; Hymenoptera; Braconidae. The transcript is spliced from 2 exons. The record is from RefSeq and is a predicted model, not a curated record.
GAGAUCUGAUCGGUAGUGAGACAGGUGACACGCGAUCGGUACGAUGUUAGCUCUAACACUGAAUAGAAGUGCGUUCGACCUGGCGGAAUUGCCGCGGUAAACUCAAGUGGCUCAGCCCUCGCUUGUGAAACAACUUUGUUUGUAAUUUUGAAUCCAAAUAAAUAACAAUUGUCAUUGAUUAUUUUCGAGUACGUAAAACAUAAUAAGAAUCCAUUUAUAAAAUUAUUCUGAGGAAGUAAAGUACACUGUAUAUUUCAAUAAUGUAUUUGAUAAAAAAGAAGAAAAAAUAACAAGUUAACUGAUAUAUUCGUGACUUGAAGAUAAAUAUGUAUGAAGAUUAUAAAUAUCGAUUGAAGGAAGAUUACAAUCAGGGACAUUAUUGUCACUCUGGUUGCGAUGCUGCUUUAUAUAUUUUUUUUUCGUUAUCGUUACACUGAAGUACAAUAUCGUGCUCGUUGUAAAAUUAAACGAGCAACGUGUUAAUUGUGUCAUAAAAAGUAAGCGAUGUAGAUAUAAAUAUAUGUUAUAUAUAUAUGUUUAACCGGAUGAGCUGGCGGAAACUAGAAAACUACAAAUGUUAACAUGCGACAUUGACAUACACACAUGAUCCUGCAUACGAAGCUUAAAUCGAUAACGAAUUUGAUAUUCAUCAUUUCUAUAAAUAAACUUUACAAUUUGUAUAAUGGAUGAUUUAUUAAAUAGAAAGAAGUAAG